CUCAUGCUUAAAUAGGUCCUACACAAAACUUUCUCUCACUAAAAAUCCCUCAUUUUUAUCAUUUGUUUCUCUCACUAAAAAAGUUGGUUUAGUUUUCGCCGUCACCACUGAACAGAUGCAUUUUCAUCUUCAUCUUCAUCAUCCAUAAUAUAUACCAGCAAGCUCUAUCUUCUGAGAAAUGCCCAAUUUAGCUCAUACUAAUUUCUUGUUCAAUACGAAAAUCUGAAAAAAAAAAGUUCCGGUGAUGCUCGGAGUAUUGUGUGCACGUCCUAAGCCUUGGCUAUUCGCAUCACUCUGCUUAUCACACGCCCACGGCUCAACGCCUUCGGGUUAUAGCAGACUUAUUGCGACGAAUACUGCUAACAAAUCAUCGUUAUUGUUAAUAUCUGGAGGUGGAAGUGGAGGAGGAGGUGGAACGGGAGUAGAUCAGAGGCGGAAUCAUUCGAUUCAUUGCCGUAUUGCAUCAUCUGUAAAUCGAGGUGGUGGUGCAGCGUCGAUAUGGCAUGCGAUUCUUCCUGCUGGGAGGAGGAAUAAGAAGGAUAUAAAUCGGAGGAAUAAUACGGUGUUUAAACAUCAUUAUGAGCUUGCUAAGAAAGGGGAAGGGUCGUGGAAUGUGAAUUGGGAUUCUAGGCCGGCGAGAUGGUUACAUAAUCCUGAUUCUGCUUGGUUGUUGUUUGGGGUUUGUUCGUGUUUAGCAGCGCCAUCUCUUGAUCUAUUACCAGAUGCUAAUUUUGAUGUAGCUGUACCGAUUGAUAAACAGUCUGUUGUAAAUUCUUCAGAUGAGGAUGAUCAAAACUCUGCCAACUAUAGAGUCACUGGGGUUCCAGCGGAUGGAAGAUGUCUAUUUAGAGCGAUAGCACAUAUGGCUUGUUUGAGAAAUGGGGAGGAAGCUCCGGAUGAAAAUCGACAGAGAGAACUUGCUGAUGAAUUAAGAGCUCAGGUGGUUGAUGAGCUGUUAAAGAGGCGAAAAGAAGCUGAAUGGUUUAUUGAAGGGGAUUUUGAUGCAUACGUAGAAAGAAUUGAAAAGCCAUAUGUGUGGGGAGGAGAACCAGAGCUACUAAUGGCUUCUCAUGUUCUCAAGUCCUCAAUUUCUGUCUAUAUGGUAGAUAGAAGCUCUGGAAGUUUAAUAAACAUAUCAAAUUAUGGAGAAGAAUAUAGGAAGGAGGGAGAGAGUCCGAUUAACGUAUUGUUUCAUGGUUAUGGUCACUAUGACAUUUUGGAGACAAUUCCAGAGAAGAUUCACCAAAAGUUAGAAGAAUAAAAGUAGGGUAUGAUGCCCUUAGAGACGUAGUCUUGAUUUUAAAUUUUCAUAAAAGGUAGUUCGCAACGACGAUCAAAUUGAUAAGAAGUUCAGCUAUCCAGUUAACAAAACAUCUUCUUUCAGCAACGGAAAUGUGACACUGAACUCUCUAAAUGUUGUUACUGAAUCUGUGGUUGUCAAGUUAUCACUGGAAUGGAUUAUGGAUAUGUUUGUGCAGUCUGGAUCUGCUUACAUUAGAUUUGGGACUUUGUUCUGGAGGGAGCUGUUGGCUAGUUAAGCUUCUCUCUCGAACACACUUCUCCCGGAUAGUUCCAUUGUCUUUAGUCUAUAGCCUUUGUGAGCUUCCUUUAUCCAGUAGCAGAGUUAGGUGGACGCGAGGAGUUCAACUGAAUCCCCUUCAUCAGAAGAUAAUACUGUCUAGGAAAAAAUAUGAAUUUUCUUGCUUAUAUAUAAAUUGUUGAAUCCCUUUGACAUAAGGGAGGAUUCUUGUGUACUGAUAGUGGUUGUUCUAGUUUACAAUUUUAAAUCUUACUCGUGACGUUUUACA
Molecule: RNA transcript, 1808 nt
Organism: Solanum tuberosum (potato)
Lineage: Eukaryota; Viridiplantae; Streptophyta; Magnoliopsida; Solanales; Solanaceae
Exons: 6
Source: RefSeq, a predicted model, not a curated record